GCUUGCUUGUUGGGGUUGUAGGACACUCUAUACGGAGUUACAAAGGACGACAUUAGACGAAUCAUCUGGAAAGAUGAAUCAAAGAAGGUAAUAAUCCUGUAGUCGAAAAUGUUGUCUCUCUUGAGUGGAUCCUGAGUACGACGGAGCACGUGAAAUUCCGUCGGAAUCUGGGAGGACCAUCUCCUAAGGCUAAAUACUCUCUAGUGACCGAUAGUGAACCAGUACCGUGAGGGAAAGGUGAAAAGCACCCCGGAAGGGGAGUGAAAUAGAACCUGAAACCGUGUGCUUACAAGUAGUCAGAGCCCGUUAAUGGGUGAUGGCGUGCCUUUUGUAGAAUGAACCGGCGAGUUACGAUUUGAUGCAAGGUUAAGCAGUAAAUGUGGAGCCGUAGCGAAAGCGAGUCUGAAUAGGGCGUUUAGUAUUUGGUCGUAGACCCGAAACCAGGUGAUCUACCCUUGGUCAGGUUGAAGUUCAGGUAACACUGAAUGGAGGACCGAACCGACUUACGUUGAAAAGUGAGCGGAUGAACUGAGGGUAGCGGAGAAAUUCCAAUCGAACCUGGAGAUAGCUGGUUCUCUCCGAAAUAGCUUUAGGGCUAGCCUCAAGUGAUGAUUAUUGGAGGUAGAGCACUGUUUGGACGAGGGGCCCCUCUCGGGUUACCGAAUUCAGACAAACUCCGAAUGCCAAUUAAUUUAACUUGGGAGUCAGAACAUGGGUGAUAAGGUCCGUGUUCGAAAGGGAAACAGCCCAGACCACCAGCUAAGGUCCCAAAAUAUAUGUUAAGUGGAAAAGGAUGUGGCGUUGCCCAGACAACUAGGAUGUUGGCUUAGAAGCAGCCAUCAUUUAAAGAGUGCGUAAUAGCUCACUAGUCGAGUGACACUGCGCCGAAAAUGUACCGGGGCUAAACAUAUUACCGAAGCUGUGGAUUGUCCUUUGGACAAUGGUAGGAGAGCGUUCUAAGGGCGUUGAAGCAUGAUCGUAAGGACAUGUGGAGCGCUUAGAAGUGAGAAUGCCGGUGUGAGUAGCGAAAGACGGGUGAGAAUCCCGUCCACCGAUUGACUAAGGUUUCCAGAGGAAGGCUCGUCCGCUCUGGGUUAGUCGGGUCCUAAGCUGAGGCCGACAGGCGUAGGCGAUGGAUAACAGGUUGAUAUUCCUGUACCACCUAUAAUCGUUUUA
Molecule: ribosomal RNA, 1176 nt
Filed under: Staphylococcus aureus
Lineage: Bacteria; Bacillati; Bacillota; Bacilli; Caryophanales; Staphylococcaceae
Description: partial 23S ribosomal RNA
Rfam family: Bacterial large subunit ribosomal RNA
Source: RNAcentral